CCAAGGCAGCGGAGUACUACACCACCAAGGCAGCGGAGUACUACACCACCAAGGCAGCGGAGUACUACACCACCAAGGCAGCGGCUAAUUUUUACUACGUUGAACCGGAAUGCUUAACCGAUGCCCCAGUUUUCUAUACUACAACCUACGCUUCUCCCAGGCACCUACUACACCGAAGCUCCGAAGUUUUACUCUUAGCAGAGUUACCACACCAUUAAGGAAGCCGAACAUUACACCACAAACGCUUCCGCCACUUACUACAUGGAGAUUCCUUAAUGCUAGAUCCGAAAUUUCUAUUUGAUUUUAUUUAGAUAUGUCGGUUGUCUUCAUGGUCAUUGGUCAUUGGGAAUUGUUUAUCUUGAUAGAGAAAAUAAAAUUUCUAAUGCCGGCAA
This is a long non-coding RNA of Daphnia pulicaria, 392 nucleotides long. RefSeq lists it as uncharacterized. NCBI's taxonomy places the organism in Eukaryota, Metazoa, Arthropoda, Branchiopoda, Diplostraca, Daphniidae. The transcript has 2 exons. The record is from RefSeq and is a predicted model, not a curated record.